This 274-nucleotide ribosomal RNA is filed under the name uncultured bacterium. Its description in RNAcentral is "partial 16S ribosomal RNA". It matches the Rfam family "Archaeal small subunit ribosomal RNA", at positions 473 to 747 of the family's 1478-position model. The record is from RNAcentral.
AAACCAGCACCUCAAGUGGUCAGGAGGAUUAUUGGGCCUAAAGCAUCCGUAGCCUGUUCUGUAAGUUUUCGGUUAAAUCCAUUAGCUCAACUAAUGGGCCGCCGAAAAUACUGUAGAACUAGGGAGUGGGAGAGGUAGACGGUAUUCGGUAGGAAGGGGUAAAAUCCUUUGAUCUAUUGAGGACCACCUGUGGCGAAGGCGGUCUACCAGAACACGUUCGACGGUGAGGGAUGAAAGCUGGGGGAGCAAACCGGAUUAGAAACCCCUGUAGUCC